This 76-nucleotide microRNA precursor is filed under the name Myotis davidii. RNAcentral describes it as "mir-9229 microRNA precursor family". It matches the Rfam family "mir-9229 microRNA precursor family". The record is from Rfam by way of RNAcentral. Lineage: Eukaryota; Metazoa; Chordata; Mammalia; Chiroptera; Vespertilionidae.
GAGACACUCUUCUGGGGCAAGACUUGCUUCAGUGGGGCUUUGGUGUUCACUGAGUCUGCCCCCUGAGUGUGUCCUU